This 1791-nucleotide ribosomal RNA is filed under the name uncultured bacterium. Its description in RNAcentral is "bacterial LSU rRNA". It matches the Rfam family "Bacterial large subunit ribosomal RNA", at positions 189 to 1973 of the family's 2925-position model. The record is from RNAcentral.
GGAAGUGAACCAUCUCAGUACCCAGAGGAAGAGAAAACAACCGUGAUUCCGAAAGUAGUGGCGAGCGAAAUCGGAAUAGCCCAAACCGGGUGAUUCGAAAGGAGAGCCCGGUGUUGUAGGACCACAAUCAUCAGGCAGCUCGAGCCGGAGACGGUUCGGCGGCCUGUUGUAACGAGGGAUAGGAAAGUGUUAAUCGAACGGUCUGGAAAGGCCGGCCAUAGAGGGUGACAGCCCCGUAGGUGAAAAUGCAAUCCUCCUUCUAGUGGUUCCUGAGUACCGCGGGACACGUGGAACCCUGCGGGAAUCUGCCGGGACCAUCCGGCAAGGCUAAAUACUCACUUGCGACCNAUAGUGAACAAGUACCGUGAGGGAAAGGUGAAAAGAACCCCUGCGAGGGGAGUGAAAUAGUACCUGAAACCACACGCUUACAAGCAGUUGGAGGGCUAUACCCGCAAGGGGAUGCCUGACAUCGUGCCUAUUGCAUAAUGAGCUGGCUAGUUAUUCUCAGUGGCGAGGUUAAGCGAAAGCGAGCCGUAGCGAAAGCGAGUCUGAACAGGGCGAUUCAGUCGCUGGGAAUAGACGCGAAGCGGGAUGAUCUACCCUUGGCCAGGAUGAAGUCGGUGUAACAGCCGAUGGAGGUCCGAACCAGUGUUGGUUGAAAACAGCUUGGAUGAGCUGAGGGUAGGGGUGAAAGGCUAAUCAAAUUCCGUGAUAGCUCGUUCUCUCCGAAAUAGCUUUAGGGCUAGCCUCGCGUGGUCCGUCGCGGUGGUAGAGAUCUGGAUGAACUAGGGGCCUUCCCAGGUUACCGAAUUCAACCAAACUUCGAAUGCCGUGAAUGCGUAACGCGGGAGUCAGACAGUGGGGGCUAAGCUUCAUUGUCGAAAGGGAAACAGCCCAGACCACCAACUAAGGCCCCUAAGUCCAUGCUAAGUGGGAAAGGAAGUCGAGAGGCUCAGACAGCCAGGAGGUUGGCUUAGAAGCAGCCAUCCUUUAAAGAAAGCGUAACAGCUCACUGGUCGAGCCGCUCGGUGCCGACAAUAUAACGGGGCUCAAGCAUGGUGCCGAAGUUGUGGAUUUGCGCAUUUCCUUCNGGAUUUCGCGGGUGGUAGGAGAGCGUUCCCAUUUGCUGCAAAGGCUGACCGGCUGGACGNNUGGACGAUGGUGAAGUGACUCUGCCAGCAUAAGUAGCGAAAAACCAGGCGUGAACCCUGGUCGCCGUAAGUCUAAGGAUUCCUGAGAAAGGUUAAUCCGCUCAGGGUUAGUCGGAGCCUAAGGUGAGGCCGAAAGGCGUAGCCGAUGGACACGCGGUUAAUAUUCCGUGACUACCUGAAUUCGAUAAAGACCGAUGGGGGGACGCAGACCGUAAGCCAUCCCACACAAUGGUUUCAAAAGAUGGUUAAGGGAGAUCCGGAUUGGCAAAUCCGCCGGGUCGUCUGCCAGGAAAAGCCUCUAAGGAGAGUUUAGGUAUCCGUACCACAAACCGACACAGGUGGACGAGAUGAGUAUUCUAAGGCGCUCGGGUGAUGGUUUGUUCAGGAACUAGGCACAUUAGCUCUGUAACUUCGGGAGAAGGAGUGCCUCCAGCAAUGGGGGCCGCAGUGAAUAGUCUCAGGCGACUGUUUAACAAAAACACAGGUCUCUGCUAAGUCGAAAACGACGUAUAGGGGCUGACGCCUGCCCGGUGCCGGAAGGUUAAAGGGAGAGGUUAGCCGCAAGGCGAAGCUUUGAACUGAAGCCCCGGUGAACGGCGGCCGUAACUAUAACGGUCCUAAGGUAGCGAAAUUCCUUGUC